Molecule: ribosomal RNA, 253 nt
Filed under: uncultured bacterium
Lineage: Bacteria
Description: partial 16S ribosomal RNA
Rfam family: Bacterial small subunit ribosomal RNA
Source: RNAcentral
GACAGAGGUCCCAAGCGUUGUUCGGAUUCACUGGGCGUAAAGGGUGCGCAGGUGGUCGGGUAAGUCUGAUGUGAAAUCCCGCAGCUUAACUGCGGAAUGGCAUUGGAUACUAUUUGGCUAGAGGGUUGGAGGGGGGACUGGAAUUCUCGGUGUAGCAGUGAAAUGCGUAGAUAUCGAGAGGAACACCAGUGGCGAAGGCGAGUCCCUGGACAACUCCUGACGCUGAGGCACGAAAGCUAGGGGAGCAAACAGG